Molecule: ribosomal RNA, 851 nt
Filed under: Nesterenkonia sp. CAa267
Lineage: Bacteria; Bacillati; Actinomycetota; Actinomycetes; Micrococcales; Micrococcaceae
Description: bacterial SSU rRNA
Rfam family: Bacterial small subunit ribosomal RNA
Source: RNAcentral
GUGCCAGCAGCCGCGGUAAUACGUAGGGCGCGAGCGUUAUCCGGAAUUAUUGGGCGUAAAGAGCUCGUAGGCGGUUUGUCACGUCUGCUGUGAAAGCCCGGGGCUCAACCCCGGGUGUGCAGUGGGUACGGGCAGACUAGAGUGCAGUAGGGGAGACUGGAAUUCCUGGUGUAGCGGUGAAAUGCGCAGAUAUCAGGAGGAACACCGAUGGCGAAGGCAGGUCUCUGGGCUGUUACUGACGCUGAGGAGCGAAAGCAUGGGGAGCGAACAGGAUUAGAUACCCUGGUAGUCCAUGCCGUAAACGUUGGGCACUAGGUGUGGGGGACAUUCCACGUUUUCCGCGCCGUAGCUAACGCAUUAAGUGCCCCGCCUGGGGAGUACGGCCGCAAGGCUAAAACUCAAAGGAAUUGACGGGGGCCCGCACAAGCGGCGGAGCAUGCGGAUUAAUUCGAUGCAACGCGAAGAACCUUACCAAGGCUUGACAUGGACCGGACCGCUGCAGAGAUGCAGCUUCCCUUCGGGGUCGGUUCACAGGUGGUGCAUGGUUGUCGUCAGCUCGUGUCGUGAGAUGUUGGGUUAAGUCCCGCAACGAGCGCAACCCCUAUCCUAUGUUGCCAGCACGUGAUGGUGGGGACUCAUGGGAGACUGCCGGGGUCAACUCGGAGGAAGGUGGGGACGACGUCAAAUCAUCAUGCCCCUUAUGUCUUGGGCUUCACGCAUGCUACAAUGGCCGGUACAAUGGGUUGCGAUACUGUGAGGUGGAGUCUAAUCCCUAAAAGCCGGUCGUCAGUUCGGAUCGAAGUCUGCAACUCGACUUCGUGAAGUUGGAGUCGCUAGUAAUACGCAGAUCA